GGUGGCUAGAAUCUUCAUUUUCUCCGAAGAGAUGUGCUCCAAUCUUUGGUGCCAUGUUCUGAAAUUUAUGACUGAAUUAGCUAAGAAAAAGUGGGGUGUGAAAAAAUAGAGUCAUCACUUGAUUCACCCUUGCCAAUCACUUUCCCGGAUUUAUUUUCCUGAAAUUUAAAACAAUGAUCAUCAAAAACUACUUUAAUGUCAUUAUCUAAGGUUAAUUUGCUUAUAGCUAUUAGAUUAACCUUAAAUUCAGGAAUUUAUAAAACGUUUUUAAGUAUUAAAUCUUCUGAGAUUUUAAUACAUCCAAUCCCUUGAACUAUUAGUGUUUUUCCACUAGGUAUAGUUACAAAAUGGUUAUGUUCUUGAAUUAGAGGUUUUGUGAAUAAAUGAAGACUACCAGUCAUGUGUUGUGAUGCACCCGAGUUUACUAUCCAUUUAUCAAUAUAUGAAUUAAUAUUGAAUGAAAAAGAAGAAAUUUUACCAGAAUUGUUGUUUGUUUUGGUUGAGGAGACUAGCUCUUUAAAAAACUGGAUUUCUUCUUGAGUUAGCAUGAGUUGUUGUUGGUUGCUAGUAGAAGCUACUUGAUUGGCUACAUCAUUAUCUGUGGUAGUGCCUUGGGUUUUCUUUCCUUGAGACUUUUUCUGAAAUUUUUCUUUUGGCCUGCCAACUAGGUGAUAGCAUUUAUCUCUUGUGUGACCAUAAUACUUGCAAUUGUCACAAUAAAACCUAGUAUCUAAUUUUUUUCCACUUUUAGAAUACAUGAUUUUUGACUUAUCCGUUGUAUUCUUAUCUUUAGUAUUUUGGCCAUAGAAAGCUGAUUCAACUUUUUCAUUUGUGUGCUCUCUAAACUUGAAUUUCUGUUUUUCCUCUUGUAUGACUAACCCAAGGAUUUUAUUCAUAUUGGGCAGUUUUUCUAGUGAUAGAAUCUGAGUUCUUAGAUUAAAAAAACUCUCAUUCAGGCCUAGUAAGAAUUGGUGAAUCAUGUCACUCUCUUCCUUUUGUAGAUAUAGCUUUUUGCAUGUUUUGCAAAAUUCUUCUUUUAUCUCAUCAAUUUGGACUAAUUGGUCCCAAAUUGAUCUGAAUUUAUCAUAAAAUUCAGAAGCGGACAGUGAACCUUGUUGCAAAUAACACAAUUCAUAUUUGAUUUGAUUAACCUUAGGGGCAUUUCCUUGUUUAUAUCUACUUUCUAGAUCUAACCAAACUUGGUAAGCAUCACAUGUAUACAUUAGUGUGGACUGAAUUUGAGGAGAAACAGAAUUCAGAAUCUAAGCUAACACUAAGCCAUUCACAAUUUUCCAGAUAUUGUAUUCCCUACUAUCAAUGUCAUCCGGCAUUCUAAUCUGUCCAUUAAUGAAGGGUUCUUUUCUUCAUGAUACUAAUGAGACUUUCGUCCCAUUAGACCAAGUGAUAUAAUUGGUUUCUCCAACCAAUCUCUCAGGUACGAAUAUAGCCCCCGGGUGAUCACCAGAGGUCAGAAAAAAAGGAGACUCUGGGUCUUGAAGUGGAGAAACGUACCUCUCUGUUUUGUGCCUUUUAAAAAUUGAAUUAUAUAAACCUUUAUCAAAAUUAUUUGUUCUUGAUUUUCCAGUAGAACCUGAUGACGAUUGAUGUGAGGCUGCCGGAGUCUGAAUUGGAUUGCUGGGACGAGCAACGGAAGCUGCAGGAUUGUCAGCCGGAAUAAUCGCGGAAGCUGCUGGCCUGUUGGCCUGAGAAUAGUUGCCAGGUGGGUUGACCAAUGAUACCAUGAUGAUUUCUAGAGGGGAAGAUGCGCCGGCGAGAAUGUGGGUUCGUUGGGAGUCCGGAGAGCCACUGGAAGCACUUAUUUGGCCGAUUCUCUUCUAGGGUUUUCCGCCCAAGCAUUUUGGGAAAAACCGAUUUACCGGUCAGUGAGGAGGAAGAAGAACGAAUGGGAGAAAGGGAAAAUUGUAAAAGAAAUUUCAAGUUUUGACUUUCAAUUAAUCA
This 1959-nucleotide long non-coding RNA is filed under the name Zostera marina. RNAcentral describes it as "long non-coding RNA (ZMAR_LNC003295)". The record is from RNAcentral. Lineage: Eukaryota; Viridiplantae; Streptophyta; Magnoliopsida; Alismatales; Zosteraceae.